GGUCCGCUGGCUCAAUGGCAGAGCGUCUGACUACGAUGUUAUCAAGGAUGCACUUAAAUACGCCUUAAUAUCAGUUAUCAGGAGGUUCCAGGUUCGACCCCUAGGUGGAUCG
Non-coding RNA from Immersiella caudata, 112 nucleotides. NCBI's taxonomy places the organism in Eukaryota, Fungi, Ascomycota, Sordariomycetes, Sordariales, Lasiosphaeriaceae. The record is from the annotation of a GenBank genome assembly.